RNAcentral lists this small RNA (406 nucleotides) under Malus domestica (apple). Its description in RNAcentral is "sRNA MD06G0163400". The record is from RNAcentral. Lineage: Eukaryota; Viridiplantae; Streptophyta; Magnoliopsida; Rosales; Rosaceae.
UCUUCGCCGAAGAGCAAGGGUGACAAAAGCCAAAUGCGGAUGUAGUGCCGGGCCGACACCCUGAGCGGUGGCGCAAAGACGCCGCUGGAAACGUAGUCUGUAAGCGCUUCUGUAACAGCCAGGGCUGCCUAUGCUUCGAGUAUGAUCAUAUCGUCCUCUUCUCCAAAGGUGGUGAAUCCACUGAAGGCAAUUGUCACAUUCCUCAAACAAGAGUGAACGGAUACAAAUGAGACAAAAGACAAAGUCGACACAACUCAGUUGAAAGGGAGGGAUCGCUCGUGAAUCUGUGUGACGCAAUGCUCUUAUGUUCCACUGAUAACUAUUGUGGGUGCCAUCCCCAAAAUCAUUUAUCACCGGUUGAAGAAUGCCUAUGAACUGUCUUCCUGAUGUAAGAUGCAAAGAUUUG